RNAcentral lists this ribosomal RNA (440 nucleotides) under uncultured bacterium. Its description in RNAcentral is "partial 16S ribosomal RNA". It matches the Rfam family "Bacterial small subunit ribosomal RNA", at positions 339 to 795 of the family's 1533-position model. The record is from RNAcentral.
CUACGGGGGGCUCCAGUAGGGAAUAUUGGACAAUGGGCGAAAGCCUGAUCCAGCAACACCGCGUGCACGAUGACGGCCUUCGGGUUGUAAAGUGCUUUUAGAGGAGAUGAGAAAGGACAGUAUCCUCUGAAUAAGCCUCGGCGAACUACGUGCCAGCAGCCGCGGUAAAACGUAGGAGGCAAGCGUUAUCCGGAUUUAUUGGGCGUAAAGCGCGUGCAGGCGGUCUAGCAAGUUGGAUGUGAAAGCUCCCGGCUCAACUGGGAGAGGUCGUUCAAUACUGUUAGACUAGAGAAUAGGAGAGGGAGGUGGAAUUCCGGGUGUAGUGGUGAAAUGCGUAGAUAUCCGGAGGAACACCAGUGGCGAAAGCGGCCUCCUGGACUAUUUCUGACGCUAAGACGCGAAAGCUAGGGUAGCAAACGGGAUUAGAUACCCCUGUAGUC